RNAcentral lists this ribosomal RNA (253 nucleotides) under uncultured bacterium. RNAcentral's name for it is "partial 16S ribosomal RNA". It matches the Rfam family "Bacterial small subunit ribosomal RNA", at positions 524 to 776 of the family's 1533-position model. The record is from RNAcentral.
UACGUAGGGGGCUAGCGUUGUCCGGAUUUAUUGGGCGUAAAGAGCGUGUAGGCGGCCAUGUAGGUCCGGUGUGAAAACUCGAGGCUUAACCUCGAGAUGUCAUCGGAAACCACUUGGCUAGAGUCCGGAAGAGGAGAGUGGAAUUCCUGGUGUAGCGGUGAAAUGCGCAGAUAUCAGGAGGAACACCGGUGGCGAAGGCGGGUCUCUGGGCCGAUACUGACGCUGAGGAGCGAAAGCGUGGGGAGCGAACAGG